Molecule: ribosomal RNA, 484 nt
Filed under: uncultured bacterium
Lineage: Bacteria
Description: partial 16S ribosomal RNA
Rfam family: Bacterial small subunit ribosomal RNA
Source: RNAcentral
AUUGAACGCUGGCGGCAGGCCUAACACAUGCAAGUCGAGCGGAAGAAGGGAGCUUGCUCCUGGAUUCAGCGGCGGACGGGUGAGUAAUUGCUAGGAAUCUGCCAGGUAGUGGGGGAUAACGUCCGGAAACGGGCGCUAAUACCGCAUACGUCCUGAGGGAGAAAGUGGGGGAUCUUCGGACCUCACGCUAUCAGAUGAGCCUAGGUCGGAUUAGCUAGUUGGUGGGGUAAAGGCCUACCAAGGCGACGAUCCGUAACUGGUCUGAGAGGAUGAUCAGUCACACUGGAACUGAGACACGGUCCAGACUCCUACGGGAGGCAGCAGUGGGGAAUAUUGGACAAUGGGCGAAAGCCUGAUCCAGCCAUGCCGCGUGUGUGAAGAAGGUCUUCGGAUUGUAAAGCACUUUAAGUUGGGAGGAAGGGCAGUAAGUUAAUACCUUGCUGUUUUGACGUUACCAACAGAAUAAGCACCGGCUAACUUCGUG